RNAcentral lists this ribosomal RNA (743 nucleotides) under uncultured bacterium. RNAcentral's name for it is "bacterial SSU rRNA". It matches the Rfam family "Bacterial small subunit ribosomal RNA", at positions 94 to 823 of the family's 1533-position model. The record is from RNAcentral.
AGCGGCGGAUGGGUGAGUAACACGUGGGGAACCCGCCCCUAAGUCUGGGAUACCAUUUGGAAACAGGUGCUAAUACCGGAUAAUAAAGCAGAUCGCAUGAUCAGCUUUUGAAAGGCGGCGUAAGCUGUCGCUAAGGGAUGGCCCCGCGGUGCAUUAGCUAGUUGGUAAGGUAACGGCUUACCAAGGCGAUGAUGCAUAGCCGAGUUGAGAGACUGAUCGGCCACAAUGGAACUGAGACACGGUCCAUACUCCUACGGGAGGCAGCAGUAGGGAAUCUUCCACAAUGGGCGCAAGCCUGAUGGAGUAACACCGCGUGAGUGAAGAAGGGUUUCGGCUCGUAAAGCUCUGUUGUUGGAGAAGAACGUGCGUGAGAGUAACUGUUCACGCAGUGACGGUAUCCAACCAGAAAGUCACGGCUAACUACGUGCCAGCAGCCGCGGUAAUACGUAGGUGGCAAGCGUUAUCCGGAUUUAUUGGGCGUAAAGCGAGCGCAGGCGGUUGCUUAGGUCUGAUGUGAAAACCUUCGGCUUAACCGAAGAAGUGCAUCGGAAACCGGGCGACUUGAGUGCAGAAGAGGACAGUGGAACUCCAUGUGUAGCGGUGGAAUGCGUAGAUAUAUGGAAGAACACCAGUGGCGAAGGCGGCUGUCUGGUCUGCAACUGACGCUGAGGCUCGAAAGCAUGGGUAGCGAACAGGAUUAGAUACCCUGGUAGUCCAUGCCGUAAACGAUGAAUGCUAGGUGU